This 782-nucleotide ribosomal RNA is filed under the name Fusarium subglutinans. RNAcentral describes it as "eukaryotic LSU rRNA". The stretch from base 164 to 317 matches the Rfam family "5.8S ribosomal RNA". Lineage: Eukaryota; Fungi; Ascomycota; Sordariomycetes; Hypocreales; Nectriaceae. The record is from RNAcentral.
GCGGAGGGAUCAUUACCGAGUUUACAACUCCCAAACCCCUGUGAACAUACCAAUUGUUGCCUCGGCGGAUCAGCCCGCUCCCGGUAAAACGGGACGGCCCGCCAGAGGACCCCUAAACUCUGUUUCUAUAUGUAACUUCUGAGUAAAACCAUAAAUAAAUCAAAACUUUCAACAACGGAUCUCUUGGUUCUGGCAUCGAUGAAGAACGCAGCAAAAUGCGAUAAGUAAUGUGAAUUGCAGAAUUCAGUGAAUCAUCGAAUCUUUGAACGCACAUUGCGCCCGCCAGUAUUCUGGCGGGCAUGCCUGUUCGAGCGUCGUUUCAACCCUCAAGCCCAGCUUGGUGUUGGGACUCGCGAGUUAAAUCGCGUUCCCCAAAUUGAUUGGCGGUCACGUCGAGCUUCCAUAGCGUAGUAGUAAAACCCUCGUUACUGGUAAUCGUCGCGGCCACGCCGUUAAACCCCAACUUCUGAAUGUUGACCUCGGAUCAGGUAGGAAUACCCGCUGAACUUAAGCAUAUCAAAACGGGGAGGAAAAGGAUCAUUACCGAGUUUACAACUCCAAACCUGGUGGAACAUACAAUUGUUGCCUCGCGGAUCAACCGCUCCCGGUAAAACGGGACGGCCGCCAGAGGACCCUAAACUCUGUUUCUAUAUGUAACUUCUGAGUAAAACCAUAAAUAAAUCAAAACUUUCAACAACGAUCUCUUGGUUCUGGCAUGAUGAAGAACGCAGCAAAAUGCGAUAAGUAAUGUGAAUUGCAGAAUUCAGUGAAUCAUCGAAUCU